UACAGAGGUCUCAAGCGUUGUUCGGAUUCAUUGGGCGUAAAGGGUGUGUAGGUGGCGCGCUAAGUCGGGUGUGAAAUUUCGGAGCUUAACUCCGAAACUGCAUUCGAUACUGGCGUGCUUGAGGACUGGAGAGAAGACUGGAAUUCAUGGUGUAGCAGUGAAAUGCGUAGAGAUCAUGAGGAAGACCAGUGGCGAAGGCGGGUCUCUGGACAGUUCCUGACACUGAGACACGAAGGCCAGGGGAGCAAACGGG
RNAcentral lists this ribosomal RNA (253 nucleotides) under uncultured bacterium. RNAcentral's name for it is "partial 16S ribosomal RNA". It matches the Rfam family "Bacterial small subunit ribosomal RNA", at positions 524 to 776 of the family's 1533-position model. The record is from RNAcentral.